GGUUAAAAAUGAAAGAAUGAACUGCCAGA
This 29-nucleotide non-coding RNA is filed under the name Mus musculus (house mouse). The record is from RNAcentral. Lineage: Eukaryota; Metazoa; Chordata; Mammalia; Rodentia; Muridae.